Molecule: long non-coding RNA, 345 nt
Organism: Canis lupus familiaris (dog)
Lineage: Eukaryota; Metazoa; Chordata; Mammalia; Carnivora; Canidae
Exons: 3
Source: RefSeq, a predicted model, not a curated record
GAGAAAAGUAGUCAUCUAUGGGCCAGGAAGGCGGCUUCACAAGGAACCAAAUUAGCACCUUGACCUUGGACUUCUCAGCCUCCAGAACUAUGAGAGAUAAAUGUCUGUUGUGUAAACCACUCCAUCUGUGUAAUUUGGUUAUGGCAGCCCAAGCUAAGCGGUGAAGUAUUUGCUUAGGGCAGAAGCUUUGAAACAAAAUUAAAAUGUGCAGUGUCAUUCUACCUGGAACUUGGCCACAUGGAAUAAGAAAUACUUUGUUCUUUUAUUUCUUCAGCUGUGCAACCAUGAAGUUACUGUGGCCAAGUUCAAAAAGGGUGUUGCCUGUGUUCUCCUCUAGGAUUUUGA